RNAcentral lists this long non-coding RNA (2677 nucleotides) under Monomorium pharaonis (pharaoh ant). RNAcentral's name for it is "uncharacterized LOC114253964". Lineage: Eukaryota; Metazoa; Arthropoda; Insecta; Hymenoptera; Formicidae. The record is from RNAcentral.
GUAAAACUUGUUGUGUGCGCAAACAUUCUUCUUGAAAAUCGCAAACAAAUUCAAGCUUACCCAGACACUGAACACAGAUCGCCUUGGGUAGAGGAUCUUUCUCAUCUAUCUGUGAUUCACAAAAUGAAGUAUAAUCAAUUGAACUUUGAUCAUGUUUAAAAAUCAUGAUCAUGUUAAAAGAAUCAUCAUUUAAUCAUGUUAAAAGAAAAAUGGAUAAGACGAAGUAGGUAAGAUAACAAAUUGAUGAUAAGAUGACAACUAAUUUUUCUACAUUAACAACAGGUAAUGAGUUAAUGCUAAUAUUAUUAGAGAUUUUAGAUAAUAGUCUCUUGUAGUUUGAUUUUAAUCUAUCCACAAAAGUAUAAGAAUAAUAUAAGAAAUAUUAUGGAUGCAUUCAUAUCAAUAUAAAUUUUUUAUGUAGAAAUACUACAUAUAGAAAUGAUAUAAAUUAUAAUAAUUAUUAUUUUAUAACUAUGUAAUAUAAUUUAUUAAUUCAUACGAUGACAUAUAAUAUUUUUUAUUUGUCGCAUUACAACAUUAUUGUAAAAUAAAUAAUUAAAUAAAUACAAUGAUCAGUGGCAGGAUUCUGUAACUCUUGACGAUAGUAUCGUUUCACUAUCGUUAUGCGAAUAUUAUAUAUGAUUAAAAAGAUCCAGAACGAUAAUCAUACUGUCAUGUGACGAUACCGAUACUGUCAUUAAGAGAUUAUAGAAUCCCAUUACUGAAAUAAGAUAAUAAACAAUGCAUGGACAACAUGAUGCAUAUUCGUUAAUGCAUGUUGUAAGUAGUUAUACUUAUUAACAUGUAUUGCAAAUACAUUAUUAUCAAAUCAGUUAAUUCUUCAAUAUUGAUUUGUAAAUAAAUCUGACCAUAUGUAAUUGGCUAAAUUUUUUAUUCAUAAAAUAAAAACAUAGAUGUAUUAUAUUAUCAAAUAUGAAUGUUUAAAUGACUUCUUAUUCUUUAAUCUUUUAUUGUACACAUCAUUAUACACAUUUUUACUGAACAUAUUUUGCGGAAUUUUAGUAUAUGAAGAUUUUUAAGUUGGUUAAUUGUAAAGUUAAAAUUUAAUAAAAAUAAAAAUUUAAUAAACAAAAUAGUGGAUUUAGCUGUUAAAUUAAAAAAUAAUUGUGGCUUAUUUACAUAUAUUUUAUAUACAAAAGUUUUACAGUUCUGAUUUCAAUAAUAAAGAAGAUAGCAGGCAUCGGUUCAAACAUUGGUUUGAAAUUGCUAAUUUCAAAUACUGCUUUAAUGGAAUGUAUGUAUUUAAUGAUACAAUAACUUUUAGCAUCAGAAAUUUGAAGUACAAAAUAUAUCAUAAAAAUAUAUAAUUUUACUUAAAUAUAAUUUUUUUAAACAGAAUCUUGCAAAAAGUCAAAUUCUAAUUUUAAUAAUUAAAAUGUAAUAACUAAAAUAAUUAAAAAUUGUAUACAUAUGUGUGUAUGUGUGUGUGUAGGUAAAGUAAAUAGAUAAAUUUAGAAUCAAUGAUAGGCCAAAAAACAAAAAAAUAAUUACAUAUUUAUGUUAUUUACCUAUAUAUACAAGUUUUAGAAACAUGUCAAAUGAUAUCAAAUAUGUUACACACUAACUAAUGGAUAGACAGUAAAAAUAUAUUGCUGUUCUAAUCCUUCAACUUCUCUUUUCCUAUUUCCUAUGACACAUGUUUUAAGCAUAUCAUGCAUUAUUAAAUAAUAAUUAAAAAGGCCCUUUAUUGAGCCGCUUAAUUAUAUUCGGCUCAGAUAUCUUAUGUAUUUUUAUUAUUAAUACACUAAUCAAACCCAUUAAUAAUCUUAAUUACUUUUUUAUAUCAUGUUAUCUAAUUUAUAAUAAUUCACAUUGCUUGUAUUGUCUACAUAGAAACUAUAAUUGUAAAUUUCAAGAUUAUAUCUACAUAGAUUAUUGAAGUAUUGUUCACAUUAUAUUUAUAUAAAUUCUUUUGAUGUAAUGAGCUUUGAUAAUACGAACAAUGUAAAUUAUUUAAAAUUUGAUAACAGUACAGAAAAGUAAUAAAGUUAUAAUAUAUAAUAUUAAAAAUUAAAAAAUGCAAUAUAAUUUUCACUAUUUGUCAUAAAAUUUAAAUUUUUUAUAAUUUACUGAUGAUUGUUUACAUAAAUAACACAUAAAAUCUAGUUUACAUUGUAUACAUAUUUAGAUUAUUUAUAUUUUACAUGUAAACUCUUAAAACUGAUAAAAAUGAUUCAUAUAGACAAAAUGUAAAUAUAUACAAUAAAUAACCCAUUUUAUAUAAUCUUGAAAUGUACAGCAUAAUACUUUUGCUAAAUUUUAUGUCAGUUAUAUAUUGAUCAGUAUAUCGAUAUUUGCAAUUUAUAUAUCAUAAAAACUAGAGCUAAGAUUUUAUCUUUAUUAACAUAUUUGUUUCACUACAAAAUUUCAGUUUUAACAACUGAAUAGCAUCACAAAAUUAAUAGAAAAAAUCAAAUGUUUUAAUAUAAAAUUUUAAUAAAAUGUCCAAUUACAGUUAUAUCCAGCUAACACCAAAUAUAACAUAGAUAUGAUUUCAUAUGCAUAUAACAUAUACAUGUGUUAUAUACCAUUAUAUAUAUGUUAUACUCAGUAUUUGUUGGAUAAGUACUAAAUUAUUUCAACCAAAAAUAUUGGUGCUCCAAUUCUAAAAAAAUUUUUUCUAUACACAUCAACAAAUACAAAAUACAAGACAAUA